GUGCCAGCCGCCGCGGUAAUACGUAGGGGGCGAGCGUUGUCCGGAAUUACUGGGCGUAAAGGGUACGUAGGCGGCUAUAUAAGUCAGGUGUGAAAUACCAGUGCUUAACACUGGAAUUGCAUUUGAAACUGUGUAGCUUGAGUGCAGGAGAGGAAAGUGGAAUUCCUAGUGUAGCGGUGAAAUGCGUAGAGAUUAGGAGGAACACCAGUGGCGAAGGCGACUUUCUGGACUGUAACUGACGCUGAGGUACGAAAGCGUGGGUAGCGAACAGGAUUAGAAACCCCGGUAGUCCCGAAA
Molecule: ribosomal RNA, 297 nt
Filed under: uncultured bacterium
Lineage: Bacteria
Description: partial 16S ribosomal RNA
Rfam family: Bacterial small subunit ribosomal RNA
Source: RNAcentral